This 287-nucleotide small nuclear RNA is filed under the name Notechis scutatus (mainland tiger snake). RNAcentral describes it as "7SK RNA (ENSNSUG00000008245.1)". It matches the Rfam family "7SK RNA", at positions 36 to 331 of the family's 331-position model. From Rfam's summary of the family: 7SK was discovered as an abundant small nuclear RNA in the mid-70s but a possible function has only recently been suggested. Two independent studies have found that 7SK RNA binds the CDK9/cyclin T complex (known as elongation factor P-TEFb). The record is from RNAcentral. Lineage: Eukaryota; Metazoa; Chordata; Lepidosauria; Squamata; Elapidae.
GAACCAGUAGUAGCACUGGUUGAAUCCACCCCUGGCUGGCUAGGCAGGAAUCCCCCUCUUCCCUCGCCACUCCAUGUGCAUCCCUCCCGAAGCUAACACACUCAGUGAAAUGGAACAGUCAACCCAGAUAAUAGCGUACCAAUCUUUUGUCAAGGGUAAAGAAUUGCUAUGUAAUCCUGCUAGAGACUCCAAACGAUAAAAGUUAUAUAUUUACCCAGGAAUUGGCAACAUAACAACUAUUCCCGCACAAGGAUAAGCUUGAUAUGUGAAUUUUACAGGUAGUCCUU